This 1212-nucleotide long non-coding RNA is filed under the name Ananas comosus (pineapple). Its description in RNAcentral is "long non-coding RNA (ACOM_LNC039169)". The record is from RNAcentral. Lineage: Eukaryota; Viridiplantae; Streptophyta; Magnoliopsida; Poales; Bromeliaceae.
GAGGGUAAAUAAGUCAUUUUAAAAGUUAACCAAUUUUUAACCCUUUAAUAACUAUGGUAAAGCUAACGUAACUAACAGUAAGGAUUGAUGAUAAUUUUCUGUAUUUACAGAGGUAUAGGUGAUAUUUUAAAUUUUAUAGGGGCAUCUAUGAUAUUUUAGACUUUGAGAGGGGUAUAGGUGAUAUUUUAAAUUUUAUAGGAGCAUCUAUGAUAUUUUAGACUUUGAGAGGGGUAUCCAUGAAAUUGCCCCAAAAAAGUAGGACCCAAAUCACAUGGGCACUCAUGGAGUAUGUUAUAUAACUAGUGAAGUUACCCACGCAUUGCGGCGGAAUGAUCCUAUAGAAUAUAAAAUAUAAAUAAAAUAAAAAUUUUAAAUUUUUUAAUUUGAUAUGGGACUUAAAUAAACACAAAUAUAAAAUAUAAAAUAGAUAUAGGUAUAGAUAUAACAAAAUUUAUAAUUUUGGUAAAUAAAUCACACGUAAUAAUAAUAAAAUAAGCAAUAAAAUUUUUUUUACCCCACACACAUCUUCAUUGCACUAUCGACAUCGGAGAGGCAAAUUCCGAUCUUUAUAUCGCCUUCGCCGCUAGUGUCGAGCUCCUCUUUAGUCACGACCAUAUCAAUCCCGUAUCCACAUCCUCUGCUUCUUCUCUCUCAUUGACUCCAAAUCCAUCACCGUUUUCUUCUACAGCGCUCCGUCGCGAUCCUCGAAACCCUAAUUUCAAUCCACACACAACAAAAAAUUUAAAAAAGUUGUAAAACAUGAGCCCUUUUUGUGCGCUAAGAAAAAAAGAAAAAAAACAAUAUGAAAAAAAAGAUAUGAAGAAAUGAAAAUGAAAUCACAUAAACAUAUUAAUUGAGAGAUAAGGGGGGGAGAAAAAAAAACAAUAUGAAAAAAAAAUGGAGAAAUGGAAAUGAAACCAUGUAAACAUAUUAAUUGAGAGAUAGGGGGGUUAGGAAGAUGAAGCAUUGGGUGGGGGGUUAGAAAGAUGAAGCAUUGGAUGGAGAUGAUAUUAUGUAAACACAUUAAUUGAGAGGUGGGAGUUUAGGAAGAUGAAACAUUGGAUGAAAAAGUUAGAUGAGAGAAGAGAAAAAGUGAAAGAGAAUUCGCCAUAUGGCAACAAAUUAGGAGAAAUAAUGUAUAGGUAUAGAUAAUUGUAACUCACUACACCUGAUAUAAAGGAGCAAGAAUAUCUCACCACACAAAAAAAAGAU